Gigantopelta aegis is the source of this 643-nucleotide long non-coding RNA. RefSeq lists it as uncharacterized. The record is from RefSeq and is a predicted model, not a curated record. NCBI's taxonomy places the organism in Eukaryota, Metazoa, Mollusca, Gastropoda, Neomphalida, Peltospiridae. The transcript is spliced from 3 exons.
CUCUCUCAAUAUCUGUAUGGUCCUUAACCAUAUAUCCGAUACCAUAUAACCGAAAAUAAAAUGUGUUGAGUGCGUCGUUAAAUAAAACAUUUCCUUCCUUAAUCUGCUGUGUAAGAUUUGAUGAGUGAUUGAGAUACAUGUCAGGGCUUCUAGAUUAUGGUAGCCCCAUGCAAUUCCAUGGCUAGUGAUAGUCAAUGUUGGGCUAAUAAAUAACUACUAUCAUCAUGCCUGACGGCUAGUAAAAAAUAAAGUUGUAAAAUGCUGCCCCAUCUACCUUCCCAAAUCAAAUGGCUUUUAAGCUCUAUCUCCCUCUUUGGGUGUUCUGUAUACCUUUCAAAAUAUAGACUCGUCUGUUUCCUUGCAUCCAGAUCACUUAGGAUGUGGUGAUGAUGAAAUAAUGGAAUAAAAAUGCGUCUGGAAUGUGUUUUUGAAAAUAAACUGGGACGUUUUUAUUAUCACUUGUGGUGAUGAGUAUAGGCAUCCAAGUCUGCUUACCAUACGCAUGGACGCAUCUUAACGCGACCCCUGGAGGUAUACAAGGUUCAGAUGCCGACACUGAAGUGUUUUGCUGUGCUGUGUUAUGAAAAUGAGAACAUUGCAGCACAAAUUUCAACAGUUAAUAUUUCAGCUACCUACAACGGGG